AUGUAGUUAAGAGGCUUAAACACUCCACUGGAAAUGGAGAAAGGUGUAGGUUCAAUCCCUGACAU
This 65-nucleotide transfer RNA is filed under the name Strongylocentrotus purpuratus (purple sea urchin). It matches the Rfam family "tRNA", at positions 5 to 66 of the family's 71-position model. Rfam says of the family: Transfer RNA (tRNA) molecules are approximately 80 nucleotides in length. Their secondary structure includes four short double-helical elements and three loops (D, anti-codon, and T loops). The record is from Rfam by way of RNAcentral. Lineage: Eukaryota; Metazoa; Echinodermata; Echinoidea; Camarodonta; Strongylocentrotidae.